Molecule: ribosomal RNA, 440 nt
Filed under: uncultured bacterium
Lineage: Bacteria
Description: partial 16S ribosomal RNA
Rfam family: Bacterial small subunit ribosomal RNA
Source: RNAcentral
CCUACGGGAGGCAGCAGUGGGGAAUAUUGCACAAUGGGGGAAACCCUGAUGCAGCGACGCCGCGUGAGUGAAGAAGUAUUUCGGUAUGUAAAGCUCUAUCAGCAGGGAAGAAAAUGACGGUACCUGAUUAAGAAGCCCCGGCUAACUAUGUGCCAGCAGCCGCGGCAAUACGUAGGGGGCAAGCGUUAUCCGGAUUUACUGGGUGUAAAGGGAGCGUAGACGGCAGCACAAGUCUGGAGUGAAAUGCCGGGGCUUAACCCCGGAACUGCUUUGGAAACUGUGCAGCUAGAGUGCAGGAGGGGUAAGUGGAAUUCCUGGUGUAGCGGUGAAAUGCGUAGAUAUUAGGAGGAACACCAGUGGCGAAGGCGGCUUACUGGACUGUAACUGACGUUGAGGCUCGAAGGCGUGGGGAGCGAACGGGAUUAGAUACCCGUGUAGUC